Beta vulgaris subsp. vulgaris (sugar beet) is the source of this 933-nucleotide long non-coding RNA. RefSeq lists it as uncharacterized. Lineage: Eukaryota; Viridiplantae; Streptophyta; Magnoliopsida; Caryophyllales; Amaranthaceae. The transcript has 2 exons. The record is from RefSeq and is a predicted model, not a curated record.
AGUUUGACGUAUUAUUGACUAAUAAAUAAAUAAAAAUUAAUAGUACAUUUAGAAGGAGUACUCCAUUACUUUUAAUUUUAAGUACUAUAUAAAGUUAGUUGUUUUGCAAAUACAUUGUCCAUUCAAUUACUUUUAAUUUACUUGAUUAGGUGUAGGCAUUCAAAGGCAGACCAAUAUUUAUUCCUAGUGAUCGAUGAUAUGAUGGUGGUAUUGCAGACUGCUUAAUAUAGGGGCUUUGCUCAUCCGUCUCUCACUUUUGGUUCUAUCUUAAAUUGUUUUGGAGGUCCGUGCUAAAUUGGUGUUUGCAGAAAUCUCCAAGUUCACCAUGUUUCUAAUAAGUUUUUGAUUAAUGCAAGCGGCGUAGAUUAUUAGUUGGGGUUAUAAGGGUUGAGGAGCCUUUUGGGUUAACUUACAGGCGAACUGUUUUUUUCCCUUGUUUUUCUGGUUGCAGAUGUUGUGCUCCUUGAUAUGUGGGAAGGUCGAUGGAGAACAAUAGCCUAACUCCUAUUGUGUUGUUCUCUUCAUUCGGUAAUAGCUCUCGACUUUAUUUUGUCCACAUGCUCUUCGGGUGAGUCUUAUCUUUGAGGGUCGUUUGUGUGGUUCUUCUUUAAAAUAUUUUGGUUUUGAAACUUGACACCAGUAUAGUGCAACUCGAUUGAUAAGGAAAAGGUUUGCAAGAGGACCUUGUUCAAUCCUUUUUAUUUGUUCCUAUUCCUUUUUGUGUUGGUUACUAAUACUUCUACCUACAUUUCUUCUUUCCUUAAUAUUCAUAUUUUCUUGUAUUGAAUAUACGACUCGAAUUUCGGUUGUGAUUCGUUGUGGACAUUUGAGUUCUUUUUCAUAUUAGAUGAACGUACUUCAGGUGUAUGUUUUCAUACUAUUAUCCUAUAAUAUUUUGUUGUAUUGAAUAUAUAACUCGGAUUUUGGUUGUGA